Molecule: long non-coding RNA, 765 nt
Filed under: Mytilus galloprovincialis (Mediterranean mussel)
Lineage: Eukaryota; Metazoa; Mollusca; Bivalvia; Mytilida; Mytilidae
Source: RNAcentral
UGGGCCCAUAAUAAAAAAUCUAAGUACAUUUUUGGAUUCAGCAUAUCAAAGAACUUCAAGAUUUCAAUUUUUGUUAAAAUCAGACUAAGUUUAAUUUUGGACCCUUUGGACUUUAGUGUAGACCAAUUUGAAAACAGGACCAAAAAUGAAGAAUCUACAUAUACAGUUAGAUUUGGUAUAUCAAAGAACCCCAUUUAUUCAAUUUUUGAUGAAAUCAAACAAAGUUUAAUUUUGGACCCCGAUUUGGACCAACUUGAAAACUGGGCCAAUAAUCAAGAAUCUAAGUACAUUUUUAGAUUCAGCAUAUCAAAGAACCUAACUGAUUCAUUUUUUGUCAAAAUCAAACUAAGUUUAAUUUUGGACCUUUUGGACCUUAAUGUAGACCAAUUUGAAAACGGGACCAAAAGUUAAGAAUCUACAUACACAGUCAUGACAGUUAGAUUCAGCAUAUCAAAGAACCCCAAUUAUUCAAUUUUGAUGAAAUCAAACAAAAGUUUAAUUUUGGACCCUUUGGGCCCCUUAUUAUGUUGGGACCAAAACUCCCAAAAUCAAACCCAACCUUUCUUUUAUGGUCAUAAACCUUGUGUUUAAAUUUCAUAGAUUUCUAUUAACUUAUACUAACGUUAUGGUGCGAAAACCAAGAAAAAUGCUUAUUUGGGUCCCUUUUUGGCCCCUAAUUCCUAAACUGUUGGGACCUAAACUCCCAAAAUCAAUACCAACCUUCCUUUUGUAGUCAUUAACAUUGUGUUUAAAUUUCAUUGAUUU